Molecule: ribosomal RNA, 491 nt
Filed under: uncultured bacterium
Lineage: Bacteria
Description: bacterial SSU rRNA
Rfam family: Bacterial small subunit ribosomal RNA
Source: RNAcentral
UCGAUCUGGCUCAGAACGAACGCUGGUGGCGUGUCUUAUACAUGCAAGUCGAGCGGUCCGCAAGGAUAGCGGCGAACGGGUGAGUAACGCGUAGGCAAUCUGCCCCGCAUAUUGGGAUAGCCGUGCCAACGCGCGGAUAAUACCGAAUAACGUGGCCCCGGACAUCCGGGGUUGACGAAAGAUUCAUCGAUGCGGGAUGAGCUUGCGUCCGAUUAGCUAGUUGGCGGGCAACGGCCCACCAAGGCGACGAUCGGUAGCCGGCCUGAGAGGGUGAUCGGCCACAUUGGGACUGAGAUACGGCCCAGACUCCUACGGGAGGCAGCAGUAGGGAAUAUUGCACAAGUGGGGGAAACCCUGAUGCAGCAACGCCAACCGUGUGGGAAGAAGCAUUUCGGUGUAGUAAACCACUGUCGUGAGGAAUAAUACGCGGUUCGGCCACGGGGGAAUGUACCUCGAGAGGAAGCACCGGCAAACUUCGUGCCAGCCGCUGC